RNAcentral lists this ribosomal RNA (468 nucleotides) under uncultured bacterium. Its description in RNAcentral is "partial 16S ribosomal RNA". It matches the Rfam family "Bacterial small subunit ribosomal RNA", at positions 28 to 507 of the family's 1533-position model. The record is from RNAcentral.
GACGAACGCUGGCGGCGUGCUUAACACAUGCAAGUCGAACGGAAAGGCCCUGCUUUUGUGGGGUGCUCGAGUGGCGAACGGGUGAGUAACACGUGAGUAACCUGCCCUUGACUUUGGGAUAACUUCAGGAAACUGGGGCUAAUACCGGAUAGGAGCUCCUGCUGCAUGGUGGGGGUUGGAAAGUUUCGGCGGUUGGGGAUGGACUCGCGGCUUAUCAGCUUGUUGGUGGGGUAGUGGCUUACCAAGGCUUUGACGGGUAGCCGGCCUGAGAGGGUGACCGGCCACAUUGGGACUGAGAGACGGCCCAGACUCCUACGGGAGGCAGCAGUGGGGAAUAUUGCACAAUGGGCGGAAGCCUGAUGCAGCAACGCCGCGUGCGGGAUGACGGCCUUCGGGUUGUAAACCGCAUUCGCCUGUGACGAAGCGUGAGUGACGGUAAUGGGUAAAGAAGCACCGGCUAACUACGUG